GAUGAACGCUGGCGGCGUGCCUAAUACAUGCAAGUCGAGCGCGAGAAUGAGGAGCUUGCUCCUCAUGAUCGAGCGGCGGACGGGUGAGUAACACGUAGGCAACCUACCCUUGAGAUUGGGAUAACUACCGGAAACGGUAGCUAAUACCGGAUACGACUUUUCCACACAAGUGGAAUUGUUAAAAGGCGGAUUUAUCUGCCGCUCAUGGAUGGGCCUGCGGUGCAUUAGCUAGUUGGUGAGGUAGUGGCUCACCAAGGCGACGAUGCAUAGCCGACCUGAGAGGGUGAUCGGCCACACUGGGACUGAGACACGGCCCAGACUCCUACGGGAGGCAGCAGUAGGGAAUCUUCCGCAAUGGACGCAAGUCUGACGGAGCAACGCCGCGUGAGUGAUGAAGGGUUUCGGCUCGUAAAACUCUGUUGUUAAGGAAGAACACUUGAGGUAGUAACUGGCCUUGAGAUGACGGUAC
RNAcentral lists this ribosomal RNA (469 nucleotides) under uncultured bacterium. RNAcentral describes it as "bacterial SSU rRNA". It matches the Rfam family "Bacterial small subunit ribosomal RNA", at positions 28 to 478 of the family's 1533-position model. The record is from RNAcentral.